This 480-nucleotide ribosomal RNA is filed under the name uncultured bacterium. Its description in RNAcentral is "partial 16S ribosomal RNA". It matches the Rfam family "Bacterial small subunit ribosomal RNA", at positions 28 to 523 of the family's 1533-position model. The record is from RNAcentral.
GACGAACGCUGGCGGCGUGCUUAACACAUGCAAGUCGAGCGGAAAGGCCCUUUCGGGGGUACUCGAGCGGCGAACGGGUGAGUAACACGUGAGUAAUCUGCCCCUGGCUUUGGGAUAGCUACCGGAAACGGUGAUUAAUACCGGAUACGACCACUUCUCGCAUGGGAUGGUGGUGGAAAGUUUUUCGGCCAGGGAUGUGCUCGCGGCCUAUCAGCUUGAUGGUGAGGUAAUGGUACACCAUUGCUUCGACGGGUAGCCGGCCUGAGAGGGUGGACGGUAACACUGGGACUGAGACACAGACCAGACUCCUACGGGAGGCAGCAGUGGGGAAUAUUGGACAAUGGGCGGAAGCCUGAACCAGCAGCGCCGCGUGAGGGAUGACGGCCUUCGGGGUGUACACCUCUUUCAGCAGGGACGAAGCGCAAGUGACGGUACCUGCAGAAGAAGCACCGACCAACUACGUGCCAGCCGCCGCAGUAA